RNAcentral lists this ribosomal RNA (107 nucleotides) under Bos taurus (domestic cattle). The record is from RNAcentral. Lineage: Eukaryota; Metazoa; Chordata; Mammalia; Artiodactyla; Bovidae.
GUCUACAGCCAUACCACCCUGAACGUGCCCGAUCUCGUCUGAUAUUGGAAGCUAAGCAGGGUCGGGCCUUGUUAGUACUUGGAUGGGAGAUCAUGCUAGUUCAGGCA